CCUACGGGUGGCAGCAGUGAGGAAUAUUGGUCAAUGGUCGGGAGACUGAACCAGCCAAGCCGCGUGAGGGAUGAAGGUACAGAGUAUCGUAAACCUCUUUUGUCAGGGAACAAAGGCGGGGACGUGUCCCCGGAUGAGUGUACCUGAAGAAAAAGCAUCGGAUAACUCCGUGCCAGCAGCCGCGGUAAUACGGAGGAGGCGAGCGUUAUCCGGAUUUAUGGGGUUUAAAGGGUGCGCAGGCGGUCUGUUAAGUCAGCGGUCAAAGCCCGGGGCUCAACCCCGGCCCGCCGUUGAAACUGGCAGUCUCGAGUUGGAGAGAAGUAUGCGGAAUGCGCGGUGUAGCGGUGAAAUGCAUAGAUAUCGCGCAGAACUCCGAUUGCGAAGGCAGCAUGCCGGCUCCACACUGACGCUGAGGCACGAAAGCGUGGGUAUCGAACAGGAUUAGAUACCCUGGUAGUC
This 459-nucleotide ribosomal RNA is filed under the name uncultured bacterium. Its description in RNAcentral is "partial 16S ribosomal RNA". It matches the Rfam family "Bacterial small subunit ribosomal RNA", at positions 338 to 795 of the family's 1533-position model. The record is from RNAcentral.